GAUGAACGCUGGCGGCGUGCUUAACACAUGCAAGUCGAACGGAAAGGCCCAAGCUUGCUUGGGUACUCGAGUGGCGAACGGGUGAGUAACACGUGGGUGAUCUGCCCUGCACUUCGGGAUAAGCCUGGGAAACUGGGUCUAAUACCGGAUAGGACCACUUCUUGGACGUUGUGGUGGAAAGUUUUUUCGGUGUGGGAUGAGCUCGCGGGCUAUCAGCUUGUUGGUGGGGUAAUGGCCUACCAAGGCGUCGACGGGUAGCCGGCCUGGGAGGGUGUACGGCCACAUUGGGACUGAGAUACGGCCCAGACUCCGACGGGAGGCAGCAGUGGGGAAUAUUGCACAAUGGGCGCCAGCCUGAUGCAGCGACGCCGCGUGGGGGAUGACGGCCUUAGGGUUGUAAACUCCUUUCGCUAGGGACGAAGCGUUUUGUGACGGUACCUGGAGAAGAAGCACCGGCUAACUACGUG
This 467-nucleotide ribosomal RNA is filed under the name uncultured bacterium. Its description in RNAcentral is "partial 16S ribosomal RNA". It matches the Rfam family "Bacterial small subunit ribosomal RNA", at positions 28 to 507 of the family's 1533-position model. The record is from RNAcentral.